GGCCGCGGCUGGCGGCCGACGGCCCCUAAAGGGGCUGAGGAAACACCGCCCUCCCCGCGGGAGCCGGGCCCCGGAAGGGGCACGGGUGAUACCCGUGGCAAUGGCACAGAAACGGCACGGCUCCAGGCGAUGUCUAUGAUGCGGAGAGGUCCCCGAGGCAACUCGGGGGCAGGUAACCCGUUGAGGACAGCCUGGAGACGCGUUGAAACGGCCAGCCCCGGCGGAGCAAGGUCCUGGGGCUAUGAGGCCCGCGCGAAGCCCUGGGAGGAGGCCGCUGAGUCAAAUGCCGCCGUAGUACCGAAGGCGGGUUAUAGCCGCGGCC
RNAcentral lists this RNase P RNA (322 nucleotides) under Desulfurococcales archaeon. RNAcentral describes it as "RNase P RNA component". It matches the Rfam family "Archaeal RNase P". From Rfam's summary of the family: Ribonuclease P (RNase P) is a ubiquitous endoribonuclease, found in archaea, bacteria and eukarya as well as chloroplasts and mitochondria. Its best characterised activity is the generation of mature 5'-ends of tRNAs by cleaving the 5'-leader elements of precursor-tRNAs. Cellular RNase Ps are ribonucleoproteins. Lineage: Archaea; Thermoproteati; Thermoproteota; Thermoprotei; Desulfurococcales. The record is from RNAcentral.